RNAcentral lists this unclassified non-coding RNA (358 nucleotides) under soil metagenome. Its description in RNAcentral is "partial contains 5.8S ribosomal RNA, internal transcribed spacer 2, and large subunit ribosomal RNA". The stretch from base 1 to 120 matches the Rfam family "5.8S ribosomal RNA", at positions 35 to 154 of the family's 154-position model. The record is from RNAcentral.
GAUGAAGAACGCAGCGAAAUGCGAUAAGUAAUGUGAAUUGCAGAAUUCAGUGAAUCAUCGAAUCUUUGAACGCACAUUGCGCCCGCCAGUAUUCUGGCGGGCAUGCCUGUCCGAGCGUCAUUUCAACCCUCGAACCCCUCCGGGGGGUCGGCGUUGGGGACCUCGGGAGCCCCUAAGACGGGAUCCCGGCCCCGAAAUACAGUGGCGGUCUCGCCGCAGCCUCUCCUGCGCAGUAGUUUGCACAACUCGCACCGGGAGCGCGGCGCGUCCACGUCCGUAAAACACCCAACUUCUGAAAUGUUGACCUCGGAUCAGGUAGGAAUACCCGCUGAACUUAAGCAUAUCAAUAAGCAGAGGA